GGGCAGAGCUCAGCGGUAGAGCGCGUGCUUAGCAUGCAUGAGGUCCUGAGUUCAAUCCCCAGUCCCUCCA
This 70-nucleotide transfer RNA is filed under the name Camelus ferus (Wild Bactrian camel). It matches the Rfam family "tRNA". Rfam says of the family: Transfer RNA (tRNA) molecules are approximately 80 nucleotides in length. Their secondary structure includes four short double-helical elements and three loops (D, anti-codon, and T loops). Further hydrogen bonds mediate the characteristic L-shaped molecular structure. tRNAs have two regions of fundamental functional importance: the anti-codon, which is responsible for specific mRNA codon recognition, and the 3' end, to which the tRNAs corresponding amino acid is attached (by aminoacyl-tRNA synthetases). tRNAs cope with the degeneracy of the genetic code in two manners: having more than one tRNA (with a specific anti-codon) for a particular amino acid; and 'wobble' base-pairing, i.e. permitting non-standard base-pairing at the 3rd anti-codon position. The record is from Rfam by way of RNAcentral. Lineage: Eukaryota; Metazoa; Chordata; Mammalia; Artiodactyla; Camelidae.